GCUAGAAGUGGUGGUGCAUGUGUGCUACUGAGGAAGAUGAGGCUAGUAGAUUGCUUAAAUUCAUGAGUUCUGAGCCACAGUGUGCUAAGAUGAUCAGUUGUCCUCACUAAGUACAACACCAACAUGGUCCCUUACAGGGAACCAGGAUGUCUAUGGAGAGGUGAACUGGCCCAGGUUGGAAACACAGCAGUUCAAAGCUCUUGUGUUGAUCUGUAGUGGGAGUGGGCCUACGAGUAGCUGCUGCACUUCCAGACUGGGAGCCCAAGCCCUGCUCC
Vombatus ursinus (common wombat) is the source of this 275-nucleotide unclassified non-coding RNA. It matches the Rfam family "Metazoan signal recognition particle RNA". From Rfam's summary of the family: The signal recognition particle (SRP) is a universally conserved ribonucleoprotein. The record is from Ensembl. NCBI's taxonomy places the organism in Eukaryota, Metazoa, Chordata, Mammalia, Diprotodontia, Vombatidae.